GUGCCAGCCGCCGCGGUAAUACGUAGGGUGCGAGCGUUGUCCGGAAUUAUUGGGCGUAAAGGGCUCGUAGGCGGUUUGUCACGUCGGGAGUGAAAACUCGGGGCUUAACCCCGAGCCUGCUUCCGAUACGGGCUGACUAGAGGUAUGCAGGGGAGAACGGAAUUCCUGGUGUAGCGGUGAAAUGCGCAGAUAUCAGGAGGAACACCGGUGGCGAAGGCGGUUCUCUGGGCAUUACCUGACGCUGAGGAGCGAAAGUGUGGGGAGCGAACAGGAUUAGAUACCCGUGUAGUCC
This 292-nucleotide ribosomal RNA is filed under the name uncultured bacterium. Its description in RNAcentral is "partial 16S ribosomal RNA". It matches the Rfam family "Bacterial small subunit ribosomal RNA", at positions 505 to 796 of the family's 1533-position model. The record is from RNAcentral.